RNAcentral lists this transfer RNA (78 nucleotides) under Persephonella marina EX-H1. Its description in RNAcentral is "tRNA-Met". It matches the Rfam family "tRNA". Rfam says of the family: Transfer RNA (tRNA) molecules are approximately 80 nucleotides in length. Their secondary structure includes four short double-helical elements and three loops (D, anti-codon, and T loops). The record is from RNAcentral. Lineage: Bacteria; Pseudomonadati; Aquificota; Aquificia; Aquificales; Hydrogenothermaceae.
UGGGCUCGUAGCUCAGUUGGCAGAGCAGACGGCUCAUAACCGUCCGGUCGGAGGUUCGAGUCCUCCCGGGCCCACCAU